AGCGUUCAUAGUACAAACGGUGGGCUUAGCUCGAGAGGGCGGCCCAACUCAAUCCCGCCGCGGUGCUCUUCAUUGAGUGUCGAGGUGGGCCGGCACGUUUACUUUGAACAAAUUAGAGUGCUUAAAGCAGGCUAAAACUUCGCCUGAAUACUGUGUGCAUGGAAUAAUGGAAUAGGACCUCGGUUCUAUUUUGUUGGUUUUCGGAACCCCGAGGUAAUGAUUAAUAGGAACGGAUGGGGGCAUUCGUAUUGCGACGUUAGAGGUGAAAUUCUUGGAUCGUCGCAAGACGGACAGAAGCGAAAGCAUUUGCCAAAAACGCUUUCAUUGAUCAAGAACGAAAGUUAGAGGUUCGAAGGCGAUCAGAUACCGCCCUAGUUCUAACCAUAAACGAUGCCAGCUAGCGAUCCGCCGACGUUCCUCCGAUGACUCGGCGGGCAGCUUCGGGAUAAGGAUUGGCU
RNAcentral lists this non-coding RNA (458 nucleotides) under Tribolium castaneum (red flour beetle). RNAcentral's name for it is "Eukaryotic small subunit ribosomal RNA". It matches the Rfam family "Eukaryotic small subunit ribosomal RNA", at positions 654 to 1113 of the family's 1831-position model. Lineage: Eukaryota; Metazoa; Arthropoda; Insecta; Coleoptera; Tenebrionidae. The record is from Rfam by way of RNAcentral.